GAGUUGGCCAGGCAGUCGCUCUAUUCACUUUGAAUAGAGAGGAAAGUCCGGGCUCCAUAGGGCAGAGUGCCAGGUAACGCCUGGGAAGUGAAAGCUUACGGAAAGUGCAACAGAAAGAUACCGCCUAUGCAAUUGUAUGGGUAAGGGUGAAAUGGUGCGGUAAGAGCGCACCGCGUAAGUGGUAACAGUUACGGCAUGGCAAACCCCACUCGGAGCAAGACCAAAUAGGAAUCCAAUAGGUGCGGCCCGCACUGGAUUCGGGUAGGUCGCUUGAGGCGCAUGGUGACGUGCGUCCUAGAUGAAUGAUUGUCCACGACAGAACCCGGCUUAUAGGCCGGCUCC
RNAcentral lists this RNase P RNA (342 nucleotides) under zebrafish metagenome. RNAcentral describes it as "Bacterial RNase P class A". It matches the Rfam family "Bacterial RNase P class A". Rfam says of the family: Ribonuclease P (RNase P) is a ubiquitous endoribonuclease, found in archaea, bacteria and eukarya as well as chloroplasts and mitochondria. Its best characterised activity is the generation of mature 5'-ends of tRNAs by cleaving the 5'-leader elements of precursor-tRNAs. The record is from RNAcentral.